Molecule: long non-coding RNA, 1732 nt
Organism: Capra hircus (goat)
Lineage: Eukaryota; Metazoa; Chordata; Mammalia; Artiodactyla; Bovidae
Exons: 2
Source: RefSeq, a predicted model, not a curated record
CUUGUCCAAAAGUUACAGAUGUGCACAGGGAGCUCGCAGUCCGCGCGGCUGCCUACGGCAGAGGAGAGAGAGAACUCCGCAGGGCGCGCCGUUGGCUUCUGCGUGAGUGACAACGCUGCUUUCCCAGUUCGACCCCGUCUCCUCUGCGCUCGGCGGAGGGCUGCAGUGAGCAUCGUUUAUCCUUCGCCAGGAAGAGCCAGUUGUGUUUGGUCCCUCGUGCCUGGCCAUCCCCAGGCUGGAUUCUUCGGAGGUGGGCUUUUACACUCUCCUUAGUGGAUUCUGACUUCUUGUGUCUGACGAGCCUGGGCAGUACUACCUCUCCUGACCAGGGACCGAAAGUGCCCUGGUAGGCUCAUUCCACACCCGGCUUCUCGUCAGGAAGAGCUUACCCAGGCAUUCAGGCAUCAGGAUCAAUGAUGAACUUUCAAAAAGGAAAAAGAUGGAAAAUCAUCGAAAUUAUCAUAAUCUGUGCUCCCAACUAAAUGAGUGUUUCCUUGUAGCAUGAGCAGUCAAAGGAAAUUAUAUUCCUGUGUUAUUUAGUCUACCAACAGCCUAUUUGCACACUGUCUUCAUCUAGACUAUUCUUGAAAGCAGAGCCUGAGACAAAGGUAGAGACAUACUCUAUUUGGAAAUGUGGUCCCAGGGAACAAGGAUGAGACAAGGGAGAAAACAGGUGGAAAAGGAAAGAAUGUCCAAGCAAAAAAGGUAGUGUUAGUGAGUGGUCCACUAGUGUUCUUGGCUACUUAGUGCAGAACCUUCCCAGUAUCCUAAUUAAACUGUGUCUCAGAAUUGUCUGCCUGAGGGAUGAAAAGAAGAAGCAUUUAUCUGUCAGCGGAUAUCACCUGUGUGCUGAGGGCUGCUCCCAUGGGGCAGCAACACCCCCACGAAGAGAGCCUCACUGGGCUACAGCAUCACACGCACUGUAGCAGAGACGCUUCAGGACAAGAAGCUAGAUUCUUGAUACAAGCCUGAGAUGAGGCACUGUCAGCACAGAACAGGGUGAAACCUGCCCAGAGCUGUUCACCAAAGCCACAGCUGGAACUGGAGGUGGAAGAGAUGGGAGGCAGUGCACAGGAGGCAUCUCUGAAGCCUGGAGAAGGUGCUGUUAGCCUUGUCUAAAUCCUCUCUCCUUUCCAUCAUUACAGUUUCAUUGUCCAGAACAGAGGUUGGCAGAGGGCUAAAUAGGAAGGCUAAAUGUAUUUCCUAGAAGCUGUAUGUUAAUAACAGUUUUAACCUUGAGUAAUGUGCAUAAGAAAUAGAAAGUGACAUUAGAACUUGAAAAAACUUGUUACUCUAUUGGAUAGCAGUAUUAGAUAUCCUCUAAAUUCAUGUAAUCUGAGAAGUAAUCAUAAAUUGGAGAAAUAAAAUCAACCAUUUCUUAUAUUUCUAUCAGCUUUAUAAAUCAGUGUCAUUAGUUUUUCCUAAGAUAUUGUCUUUUAUUGUUACAUAGCACUAGUGAUAUAGAAAUUACAACCAAUGAAGGGAACACUGGUAGGAACACAGGAAUGAAAAAUGUUGGAAUAAUUUCCAUCACAUAAAGGGUUGGUAUUAAUAUAGGUUGGAAUCAAGGCAGGAGAUGGGGGAUAACUGCACAUUUUGACUUGGGGUUCUUCUUUGAAGUUCCAUUUUACCAGAAAUAAUUUUCUCUCUGCCUACAUCCAUAUGAUAGCAUAAUCAUCCUCUCUUAUCUGAUCUGCAAUUACCAUCAAUAAGAAUAAACUUUUGAGUUACU